Mustela putorius furo (domestic ferret) is the source of this 104-nucleotide small nuclear RNA. The record is from Ensembl. Lineage: Eukaryota; Metazoa; Chordata; Mammalia; Carnivora; Mustelidae.
AUGCUCGCUUCAGGAGUAUAUAUACUAGGAUUGGAAUGAUAUUGAGAUUAGCAUCGCCCCUGUGCAAGAAGGACACACAAAUUCAUGAAGCAUUCCAUAUUUUU